Long non-coding RNA from Austrofundulus limnaeus, 801 nucleotides. RefSeq lists it as uncharacterized. The transcript is spliced from 2 exons. NCBI's taxonomy places the organism in Eukaryota, Metazoa, Chordata, Actinopteri, Cyprinodontiformes, Rivulidae. The record is from RefSeq and is a predicted model, not a curated record.
GCCCAGAGUGUUGCUUUGACUCAUUCAUACAUGUUUGAUAAAUCGUGCAGUGACAUGAGGCAGCCGGGCAGGGGAGCAAAAACGACYRGUUGGGACUAGAACCACCUUUUGGGACUAGCUCCUCCUCUGGGCUGUGUCUCCGAACCGAGCUUCCUCAUCACAGGGCACACCUCCCCACCCUGCUCGUGAUUCCUGCAGGCACUCGGCAGCAACAAAGCAAACAACUGGUGAAAAUGCUGAGCUCCUAAUACUACUUGUCAAUGCAGCCCUUUUUGGAUAAAAAUACCUUUGAGGAAACGUAUUAUCAACAGCAACAAAGUAAACAAACACUGUUGUCAUCUGCAGGAUCAGUAGUGUGUGUCUGUGAGGAUGACAGAAAUGGAGUUUAAAUGAAAGUUCAACUCUGGAAGACUCAUUGCCUCGCCUGCUCCUGCCGACCUCCACGUCUCAAAUCCAGCUGCGUCCAAUCAUCGCAAGCCCAGCCACGUCCAAUCAGCUCCUGACUGCCAAUGAAUAAAAGCCUGUUGUCUCAAUCACCCCUGCAUGCCAGCUGACUGUCAACUUACCACCACCCCUUCUCCACCCUUCAUCAUCUGGUAUCCAAGGGCACCCCUCCCUUAACUUCCACCACCAGUGUUGGGAGGGGGUGGGGCUACUACCCCUUAACUCAUUGCAACUCGUAUGAGAUUACAGCAUCACUCAGUGCUCUUGUCCUCUGACAGGGUCCGAGCGCCAAACUCUGAUACCGUUCAUGUCAAUAAUCAUGUUGGUCCAGUCAUGUCAAUAAACCUCCUAAUUUCA